Molecule: non-coding RNA, 1216 nt
Organism: Microcebus murinus (gray mouse lemur)
Lineage: Eukaryota; Metazoa; Chordata; Mammalia; Primates; Cheirogaleidae
Source: RefSeq, a predicted model, not a curated record
CGCAGCUCUCAUGCGUGGCUGGCCUUGCACCCGGGAGUCAGGACCCUGCGUGCAUUCUCCACCGCCGUGUCCCCGGCCACUCCUAGCCUUCAAAGAACGUCCAAAACUGAAAGAAUGUCGAAAAGAAAGGCACUGCCUCCUAGGACAGAGAAAAUGGCCGUUGACCAGGACUGGCCUAGCGUUUACCCUGCUGCAGUGCCAUUUAAACCCUCUGUGGUACCUCUUCCUAUUAGAAUGGGUUAUCCAAUGAAAAAGGGCAUGCCGUUGGCAAAGGAGGGAAAUCUAGAACUUUUAAAGAUUCCCAAUUUUCUGCAUUUGACUCCUGUAGCAAUUAAAAGGCACUGUGAAGCUCUUAAAGAAUUUUGCACUGAGUGGCCAGCUGCACUAGACAGUGAUGAGAAAUGUGAAAAGCAUUUUCCAAUCGAAAUUGACACUGCUGAUUACGUUUCAUCAGGACCGUCUAUUCGAAACCCCAAAGCACGAGUAGUAACCUUAAGGGUUAAACUUUCCAGUUUGAAUUUAGAUGACCACGCAAAGAAGAAACUUAUUAAACUUGUAGGAGAGCGAUACUGCAAGACCACAGAUGUGCUUACCAUCAAAACAGAUAGAUGCCCUUUAAGGAGACAGAAUUAUGAUUAUGCAAUGUAUCUACUAACAGUUUUAUACCACGAGUCUUGGAAAACCGAAGAAUGGGAAAAACAUAAGACUGAAGCAGACAUGGAAGAGUAUAUAUGGGAAAAUAGCUCCUCAGAAAAAAAUAUCCUGGAAACACUUCUCCAGAUUAAAGCUGCUGAGAAAACUACGGACAUAAAUGAGGAAGAACUCCUUGGUACUAAAGAAGUUGAAGAUUACAAAAAUUGUGUCGUUACUCUUAAGAACGAGGAGGAAAAUGAAAAUACCCUUUCUCAGUACAAAGAAUCAGUGAAGAGACUUAAAUUUGACAUGAAUUACAAAGUAGAAAAAUCUGCUUUAUUUAUUAAUUUGAUGAUAGAUGUAAUCAGUAUCUAAUUGGGUAUAAAAUUGAAAAUGUUAAAAAAUCAUCAUUGUCUUAUAUCAGAGUUAAAGUUACUUCAUUUCAUACUAAUGCUCACUGGCAAUAAUUAUUCCAAAGUUUUCUUAUUUGUACACUGGCACAAUUAGAGUAAUUAGAUCUCUGAUUUUUUUUUGUAAAGUGUUUUGAUUUUAUUUCUACACAAUAACUUUGUAUGCAUAUAUA